GCACAGGUGGCACGCGCACCUGCUACUGGAGCACACCCCAAGGAAGGCCUGGGCUCGGGCAGAAGCCCCUCCUUGGACCUCGUCCAGCCUCAGCCCUGUGGGGACAGGGCUUUUCCCUCACGUGCUCCAGCUUCCUGAGCGGCUGCUGGCCCGGUCCUGCCCCUCACAGAGCUCCCUAAGAGAGACAAGGGAUGUGCGCUCAGCCCACCAGGGCAGUCCGGCGCGGCGCCGGGGCUUAGUCCCCAGGCCUCCGGGGGUCCUUCCCAGAAAGUGGAGUGAUGGGCUGGAGGAGGGACCUCCGGCAACCACGUGGGCUUGCAGCGACCCUCACUGGCAUGGACCUUGGGGACCGAAAGGGGUCUGGGGUUCAGCCUGGGCUGGGGACAGCUCCUGAGUCCAUGGGAGGGUGAUCUGG
This 415-nucleotide long non-coding RNA is filed under the name Homo sapiens (human). RNAcentral's name for it is "HSALNT0068021". Lineage: Eukaryota; Metazoa; Chordata; Mammalia; Primates; Hominidae. The record is from RNAcentral.